RNAcentral lists this ribosomal RNA (491 nucleotides) under uncultured bacterium. Its description in RNAcentral is "partial 16S ribosomal RNA". It matches the Rfam family "Bacterial small subunit ribosomal RNA", at positions 29 to 507 of the family's 1533-position model. The record is from RNAcentral.
GUGAACGCUGGCGGUAGGCCUAACCCAUGCCAGUCGCACGGCAGCACAGUAAGAGCUUGCUCUUACGGGUGGCGAGUGGCGGACGGGUGAGGAAUACAUCGGAAUCUACUUUUUCGUGGGGGAUAACGUAGGGAAACUUACGCUAAUACCGCAUACGACCUACGGGUGAAAGCAGGGGAUCUUCGGACCUUGCGCGAUUGAAUGAGCCGAUGUCGGAUUAGCUAGUUGGCGGGGUAAAGGCCCACCAAGGCGACGAUCCGUAGCUGGUCUGAGAGGAUGAUCAGCCACACUGGAACUGAGACACGGUCCAGACUCCUACGGGAGGCAGCAGUGGGGAAUAUUGGACAAUGGGCGCAAGCCUGAUCUAGCCAUACCGCGUGGGUGAAGAAGGCCUUCGGGUUGUAAAGCCCUUUUGUUGGGAAAGAAAAGCAGCAGGUUAAUACCCCGCUGUUCUGACGGUACCCAAAGAAUAAGCACCGGCUAACUUCGUG